GGCCUGAAGCCCAAUAGCCAAUUGCUAGUUACUUGACAAAAAUGAGAAUACAAUUGGGCUCGACAUGAAGCCGAAAUCGAAAACUUAAUGGCAAGAGGGGAAUUUGGCACAGCUAGGCUAAUGCCGGUGGCGCAAUUUAACAUUUCAGCACUAACGUUGGGAGAAUACUACAAAUUUCACGAAACUCCUUGGAUCUGAACAAACACAGACAAACUUGAUCACGUGUGAAGCACAUUUGAAUAUCACAUAUGUUCUUUACUGAAAAUAUGAUCCCCAAUGCGAUAACCAAAACCUUUACACAAAUUGUUCCUCAUUUAACAUCAAAAAUUCUGAGAUCAAAGCUCAUGCUAAAUUCUGAUCUCACACCAGCAUAUUUAAACAAGACCACAUGACUCAAAAUUUUCUAAAGAAAACCAAAUGUAAAGAAUUAAUCUAAAUCUGAGAAUCCUCAAAGCUGAAAUCAAACUCAAAUUCCAUUUGAAAGUUCUUUUAAAAAUUCAAAGUUCUUAUAUAUGAACAGAGGCAGAACUAAGUUACAAAUUUCUGAAAUCAAUAGACUAUGCUUCAGGCUAUAUAUAAGCAAGUCUGAACACAUGAUUAAUGGGAAACAAACUUAAAUAAGAUUUACUAGACCAACAACAUGAAUGGUUUGAACUAAUAAGUCUAUAACCCAGAGCUAUGAAAACACACUCAAAGCCAGCCAGACUCACAAUCAAACUAAAUUGUCACAGUCUUCAGUUAAUACAUUUUAUACUAAAUCUAAAAAGACAUUCUUGAAUCAACUACAUUCAAACAAAAUCACAUAUCCAAACCUUAAGACAAACAUGUAGGACUGAUGACAUGAAUGACUACACAUAAGAAAACUGGACUAAAAGAAACACAAAACAAAAUACAACAAACUUAAAAAGCUGAUAAAGCAAUAGAGAAUUAGCAAUUGUCAAUUUCUUCAACUUGAAUUACAUGGCUUCACAUAACAGCAUAAUCAAGCUUCAUUUCCAUUCAUGGUUUGACGAAAGUACCUGGAAGUUAAGAAGGAAUCAAAGGGAAUGAAAGGGUUAACAACAGUAGCAGCAAAAUCAGCAAUGUAACAGUGCCAAUCAGCAAACCAAAACCCAAACUUCAGGAACCAGACCCCAAACAAUUCAAACCCAAACUUUUAAACCCAAAUUCGAGCCAUUUUUACUCAGAUGCACGAUUUUGGAGUUCUUCAGAAGUUAUAAACCAAGCAAAAGAAUUUAGAGAAUCGAACAAUCAAAACCAAUUUUGAGCAAUUUUCAGUACUUUUGAAAUUUGGAAAAGGAAUUCAAGUACUUCUGAAAUUUCAGUGUUUUUAGCCUUUUGUCAGUCUCUAAACCUCUAAAAUCUAACAUGCGUGUGCAGAAAGAAUGCUUUUAUAGGCAAGCCUUAGGGCAGCAAGACUGAAUUCAGUUUUACUCUUUUAAUCCUUUUGUAAUUUUUAUUUUUCUAAUGUACCCUUAGUUUAAAAAUCAGGUUUUCAAAUUAGUCCCCAUCCCACCUUCUAGGCAGCUUCCCAAGUUAGUUACAAGAGAUUCCCUAACCUAGAAUUCCUAAAAUAACCCUUAAGACCCCUAUUUUUACCCCUGAAACCUCAUGGGUCAAGUUGACCUAAUGGUUCAACCCAAACCUGGGCUUGCAAGACCCGAAUUGAAUCCCUUUCUUGGGCUUCUAAUUCAGAACCCAAGUUUGAAUCACAAUCAAAGGUCAUAAAUUAACGGGCUAACCAGAGUAAACCAGAAAACCUUUUAGAAUGAAACCAAAACAAAAAAGGGUAAAUGAACUAAUUAGACCUAAUUAAUAAAAACCAAAACAAAAUAAACUAAAUUUGUUAUCAAUCUAAUUAUGUAAUGGAACAAUGAUUAAAAAUGAAAACAUAACGAAGAAGAAGAAAAGAAGAGACAGAGAAAAGAUGAAGAUGAACUUAAACGAAAAAAGAAGAAGAAAAAUGCAAGAAAGAAAAAGGAGCUGAAAAUACCUAAGAAUCGGGCGGACAAAUCUUGAAACUAACCUUCAAGCUUUGGAAUUUGGAAAAGGAAUUCAAUUGCUUCUGAAAUUUCAGUGUUUUUAGCCUUUUUUCAGUCUCUAAACCUCUAAAAUCUUACUUGUGUGUGAAGAAAGAAUGCUUUUAUAGGCAAGCCUUAGG
RNAcentral lists this long non-coding RNA (2161 nucleotides) under Nicotiana tabacum (common tobacco). Its description in RNAcentral is "long non-coding RNA (NTAB_LNC014020)". The record is from RNAcentral. Lineage: Eukaryota; Viridiplantae; Streptophyta; Magnoliopsida; Solanales; Solanaceae.